GCUGGUGUAGCUCAGUUGGACAGAGCAGUUGAUUUGUAAUCUUCAGGUCGUGGGUUCAAAUCCCAUCCCCAGCUCCA
RNAcentral lists this transfer RNA (77 nucleotides) under Faecalibacterium prausnitzii. RNAcentral describes it as "tRNA-Thr(tgt)". It matches the Rfam family "tRNA". Rfam says of the family: Transfer RNA (tRNA) molecules are approximately 80 nucleotides in length. Their secondary structure includes four short double-helical elements and three loops (D, anti-codon, and T loops). Further hydrogen bonds mediate the characteristic L-shaped molecular structure. tRNAs have two regions of fundamental functional importance: the anti-codon, which is responsible for specific mRNA codon recognition, and the 3' end, to which the tRNAs corresponding amino acid is attached (by aminoacyl-tRNA synthetases). tRNAs cope with the degeneracy of the genetic code in two manners: having more than one tRNA (with a specific anti-codon) for a particular amino acid; and 'wobble' base-pairing, i.e. permitting non-standard base-pairing at the 3rd anti-codon position. Lineage: Bacteria; Bacillati; Bacillota; Clostridia; Eubacteriales; Oscillospiraceae. RNAcentral also lists the same sequence under 6 other names. The record is from RNAcentral.